RNAcentral lists this ribosomal RNA (245 nucleotides) under uncultured bacterium. Its description in RNAcentral is "partial 16S ribosomal RNA". It matches the Rfam family "Bacterial small subunit ribosomal RNA", at positions 524 to 768 of the family's 1533-position model. The record is from RNAcentral.
UACGAAGGGGGCUAGCGUUGCUCGGAAUGACUGGGCGUAAAGGGCGCGUAGGCGGAUCUGACAGUCAGGUGUGAAAUUCCCGGGCUUAACCUGGGGGCUGCACUUGAUACGUUGGGUCUAGAGUGAGGAAGAGGGUCGUGGAAUUCCCAGUGUAGAGGUGAAAUUCGUAGAUAUUGGGAAGAACACCGGUGGCGAAGGCGGCGACCUGGUCCUUGACUGACGCUGAGGCGCGAAAGCGUGGGGAG